Molecule: unclassified non-coding RNA, 403 nt
Filed under: soil metagenome
Description: partial contains 5.8S ribosomal RNA, internal transcribed spacer 2, and large subunit ribosomal RNA
Rfam family: 5.8S ribosomal RNA (bases 1-121)
Source: RNAcentral
GAUGAAGAACGUAGUGAAAUGCGAUAAGUAAUGUGAAUUGCAGAAUUUAGUGAAUCAUCGAAUCUUUGAACGCACCUUGCGCCCUUUGGCUAUUCCGAAGGGCAUGCCUGUUUGAGUAUCAUGAACACCUCAACUCUUUAUGGUUUUCCAUGAAGGGCUUGGACUUUGGGGGUCUUGCUGGCCUUUAGUCAGCUCCUCUCAAACGAAUCAGCUUUCCAGUGUUUGGCAGCGUCACAGGUGUGAUAACUAUCUACGCUUGUGGUUUUCUGCCAGGUAAUCCUCAGUGAUGGGGAUUCGCUGGGGCUUAUAAAUGUCUCUCCUCAGCGAAGACAGCUUUGUGAACGUUUGAUCUCAAAUCAGGUAGGACUACCCGCUGAACUUAAGCAUAUCAAUAAGCGGAGGA